RNAcentral lists this ribosomal RNA (434 nucleotides) under uncultured bacterium. Its description in RNAcentral is "partial 16S ribosomal RNA". It matches the Rfam family "Bacterial small subunit ribosomal RNA", at positions 29 to 508 of the family's 1533-position model. The record is from RNAcentral.
AACGAACGCUGGCGGCAUGCCUAACACAUGCAAGUCGAACGAGACCUUCGGGUCUAGUGGCGCACGGGUGCGUAACGCGUGGGAACCUGCCCUUAGGUUCGGAAUAACUCCCCGAAAGGGGUGCUAAUACCGGAUAAUGUCUUCGGACCAAAGAUUUAUCGCCUUUGGAUGGGCCCGCGUUGGAUUAGCUAGUUGGUAGGGUAAAAGCCUACCAAGGCGACGAUCCAUAGCUGGUCUGAGAGGAUGAUCAGCCACACUGGGACUGAGACACGGCCCAGACUCCUACGGGAGGCAGCAGUGGGGAAUAUUGGACAAUGGGCGAAAGCCGGAUCCAGCAAUGCCGCGUGAGUGAUGAAGGCCUUAGGGUUGUAAAGCUCUUUUACCCGGGAUGAUAAUGACAGUACCGGGAGAAUAAGCUCCGGCUAACUCCGUGC